Molecule: long non-coding RNA, 2783 nt
Organism: Pan troglodytes (chimpanzee)
Lineage: Eukaryota; Metazoa; Chordata; Mammalia; Primates; Hominidae
Exons: 3
Source: RefSeq, a predicted model, not a curated record
GAGGCAGUAAAGCAAAGGAAGUGAGGGAGGAGAUGUCAGUUUAGAGAAAAAGCUCUUCAAAGGCCAAACUAGUUCUCAAGAAGAAAUGAUACCUUCAAGACACGCUCCAAUGGAUAUGUCACUUCCUUGGCUAUCCUACAAGGAGAAAGCAGAAGAAGAAACACCCAGGAAGCAGAUGCAGAGGAACUGCUGCUAGAGUUCCCUGGACUGGUUUCCCAGAUGUGGAAAGUUCCGAAGACCUACAGAGUAACUAUUCAGGAAGACAAAAGUCUGAAUGAGAUCUAUGAUCUUAUAGGCAACACAGAGAUUCAUCAUGAAAGAACGUCAAUAUGUACAAGUAUACAAAGGUAUGCAGAAGCAUAGUUCAGAGUAAUAAGCACCAUAGCUCUUAGCAUAGCUCCCCAGGUGACAGACACAGCUUCCAUAGGUAUAGAGAGGGAAGUAACCCUGUACUUGCUAAGCUGUAUCAUAAAAGAAAACAAAUCAUCCUAAUUUUACGUUAACCUAUACAGGUUUGUUUGAGGUUAUCAAACAAACCUUUACUACAUGCAGUAAAAAAUGGGCACCCUUCAAUGACUGGCUGCUUUCAACUUCCUCAGUGUCCUCACUGGUAAAACAUGGACAAUAAAUGAGUAAUAUGGGUAAGUGCUUACUUAGAACAGCACAUGACACACAGUGAGUGCUAUAUAAAUGUUGGCUACUUGUAAUAGUAGUGGCAGUAAUGUUCCAAAUUUAGUUGGGCAAAUAAAUAUUAAUCAUGUAAAUUAAAUAUUUAAUUGAAUAUUUCAAAUUCAAGCAGACAUUGGUUCUAUGCUAUUUCCAUGUCUUAUUUCUUAGAGUUACCUGUAUUUCUGAUGUAGUAAGGCCACUUUUUGGGUUGCUUCUUCCAAUACUUUUUCAUCUUGUAACCAUCCCUGAAGAAAACACACAGUGGUAAGUAUGUGACAAUUCACCCCAAUUUCUUAGAAGGAAUCAUGGCCAUUGACUGUUAAUGACUCUCGUCACUAUCAGGCAAAAUUAUGACUAUUGUUACUAUAUGGGAGCUUUGUUUACAUAGGUAAUCAUCUUUCUAAGGAAUUAACUGGCUUCUCACAAGAGCCAAAAAAAAAAACUUGCCCCACCUUCUCAAUCCCAGGGAAAGUUUCAGCUGAGUUAUUUCAAGUUGGUGACAGUAGUUAGCCAGUCCUGAGCCCAGCAAGAUAAAAACAUCUUGUGCGUUCUCUGGCGCUGUGUAGACACUCAGAACAGCAUACCACACCUUCCUUAGUUGUUGCAAUGCAGUUUCCAUGUCCCUUCCAUCAGUAAUGACUUUAUAAAAGUAGAAGGCAGUGUCUUUGUCAUCUACUUUUUAAAUUGCUGAUGAGAAGCGACAUUCAUUCCUCAAUAUAAUUUUGUAAGGUUUCAAACCUUCAGUUAAAAGUAAAACCUGUGCAUGCUUCCUGAGAAGCUGAAAACGAAUCCUUCUUUUUAAACUCACAAAUAGAAAACAAAUGUCUCCAGGCACAGUGCAGUGACUACAGACCCUUCAGUUUCUGUGGGUUCACAAGGACCAAGAUGACUACAACAGGGAAAGCAGUCACACUUGAGAUGUUUAUAAGAGGGAAUUUUUUUUUAUAAUCCUAUUCCUGACAGUAAGUCUAUCAUACGGAUUUCAUUUCAGGGAUUAUUAAGGGUAUAGGAAUAAACUGUUUCUUUUAAAAGGCCCAGUGUCAAAAGAAGUCUUACCACAGGAAACAAGGCAAAUUUCUGAAGAAAGUCCUGGGAUUCAUACUGAUCAAAGUCACCAAAAUCCGCUAUAUAGAAUGACAAAUAUUCACAUGUUAAUUAUAUUUAAAUUGCAUUGCAAAAUAUGCAGAACAAAAUUCAAUAUGCAGUAUAUCUAGACGGUAUGCUAAUAUUUCAGAAGUCAAAUUUGUUAUAGCUAUAUAAAGUAUAUUUUUAAAGUAUCUUUUUAAAAAUGUUAAUUAGGCAGAUAUGAGUCUUGGCUUGGAAAAAUGCCUAUGAAUUAAAUAAAAAAAAAGUUGCAAGCUCUAUGUAAUAUGAUCUCAUUUUACAGUUAAAAUGCAAACAAAACCUACCCUGUAAUCAUAUAUGCUUGCUUAUGUACAGGAAAAUGUCAAGGAGAAACCAAAUUGUCAACAGUACUGAUGACCUCUGGGGUCACUUGAAUAUAUUACACUUGAGGCCACUGGGACCACUUGAAUAUAUUACAGCAAGAUAUAUUUGUGUUGAAAUUUUUAAUUUUUUUAAAAAAAUUGACAAUUCAGCAAAAUGCUUACGAAAAAGUAAUUCUUAAAGCCAAAAAUGAUACUUAAGAAAAUCUAAAGUACCUUGAAAAGGAAUGUGGCUCCAUGUGCAUCAGGCAUUUGUUUAAAAAUGAUACAUGUCUCCAUGCCUGCUUAUAGCUGAAGGAGUUUUAUUAAUAAUUAUUCUGAUUAAAUUUCACUCCCAAGGCUAAAUGCCAGUUAUUGUUUGAAAUAAUGCCCCAUCAGAAAUCUUCCCAGCCAGGCACAGUGGCUCACACCUAUAAUCCCAGCACUUCAGUAAGCCAAGGAGGGAGGAUAGCUUGAGCCAAAGAGUCUGAGACCAGCCUAGCAACAUAGCAAGACCCUAUCUCUAUAAAAAAUUUUAAAAAUCAGCCAGGCAUGGUAGCGCACACCUGUAGUCACAGCUACUUGGGAGGCUCAGGUGGGAGGAUCACUUGAGCACAGUAGGUUGUGGCUGCAGUGCGCCACGAUCACAUCACUGCACUCAAGCCUGGGCAACAGAGUAAGACUGUCUCC